Pseudomonas sp. is the source of this 87-nucleotide non-coding RNA. The record is from Rfam. NCBI's taxonomy places the organism in Bacteria, Pseudomonadati, Pseudomonadota, Gammaproteobacteria, Pseudomonadales, Pseudomonadaceae.
CUUUAUGGUAGCUGUGCGCAGGGCGCCUUCGGGCGCGCCGGUUUCGAUUCUCCCCGGUCGACUAACCUGCGUACAGCUGCCACCUCU